Molecule: ribosomal RNA, 423 nt
Filed under: uncultured archaeon
Lineage: Archaea
Description: partial 16S ribosomal RNA
Rfam family: Archaeal small subunit ribosomal RNA
Source: RNAcentral
CUACGGGGGGCAGUAGGCGAGAAAACUUUGCAAUGUGCGAAAGCACGACAAGGUUAAUCCGAGUGGUUUGUGCUAAACGAACCUUUUGACAGUCCUAGAAACACUGUUGAAUAAGGGGUGGGCAAGUUCUGGUGUCAGCCGCCGCGGUAAAACCAGCACCUCAAGUGGUCAGGAUGAUUAUUGGGCCUAAAGCAUCCGUAGCCGGCUCUGUAAGUUUUCGGUUAAAUCUGUACGCUCAACGUACAGGCUGCCGGGAAUACUGCAGAGCUAGGGAGUGGGAGAGGUAGACGGUACUCGGGUAGGAAGGGGUAAAAUCCUUUGAUCUAUUGAUGACCACCUGUGGCGAAGGCGGUCUACCAGAACACGUCCGACGGUGAGGGAUGAAAGCUGGGGGAGCAAACCGGAUUAGAUACCCGUGUAGUC